GAGAGAGGAACAGACACCCACACAUUUCCUUAUUACUACCAACCCAGGGGAUGUGGUACAUUACAUUUCAGAGGAAAAGGCACACAUUUCUUUUUCCUGGGCAUGGGGAGCUGUUAAGAUGGGGUGAUGGGGAUCAUGAGUCUAACGGAGUCUCAAACCACCGUCCCCUCGAGGGAAUCCAUGGUGGUUCAGGCCUGCUCUUUGCAGGAUAGCUCAGUGUAAAUAUUGCCGCAAUACUGUAAAUAUUUAAGUUCUCAAACAUGAGUCAGUUUGGAAAAAACAGACCCUGGGAGCAAAUCUAAUCAACCCCAGCCCCCCCUGGGUCCACUGCUUCUUUCAGUGGAUUCCUCAAAAUAUCUCUCUCUCUCUCUCUCCCCUCAACUCAUUUUUGACUCGAGGAGGAGGAUGAAAUUCCAAAAGACGGCCAUCACUUUCUGUGGAAGCGAAGGUGCACCGCAGGACUUUCCAGGACCCCCUCUGGGAAAGGUUAGCAAGAGCUGUCGGAGAACACGAUCCUGAAGCCAGCCGGUGGAGAUCCCACAGAGCGAGCGAGCGAGCGAGUCUUCUCAAGUCCUACUCAACCAGACUUGGGUGUUGCCAUCCCACCCUUGGACAGGGUUCCUUGCUCCCAUUACCGGACAAUUCCGGUUGACGGUCCGUCCUGCUCCGUUCCUCUCCAGGUCUCGCUUCGCCCUCGGUCGCUUAUAGCAAAGCCAGGCAUGAAAUGAAAAUUCAAUUAGUUUCAAGCAAAUGCCUUCCUAAGGAUAGAAGCCGAAAGAGAGAGAUGAAGAGAGGCAUGCGAGAGAGAAGGGACAGGAAAAAGGCACCUUUCAUCCUUGACUUUGCUGAAAAGAGACUUUGCCAGGGCACAAAGGACUGGCCACAUGACCACGGAAGCUAUCUUCCGACAAACGCUGGCCCUAUGGCUUGGAAACGGGGAUGAGCACCGCCCCCUAGAGUCAGACACGACUGGACUAAAUGUCAAGGGGAACCUUUACCUUUACCUUUUAAUUGUCGAUCACUAACAGCACCAACCAAUACUUCCUUCCCUGCCUCUAAUUCAAAGAUUCCUUCCUUCCUUCCUUCCUCCAUCAGCUCCUUCUUGCCUUUCAAUUCUCCUUGGGGAAUUCCAGAUGGACAGUUCCUUGUGCUACCACAAAAGACAUUAUGCAUUUCUUCCUAUUUUUUCCCUGGGGGAACAGACAGCAGAAGCAGCAGGGAACAGGAGGGGAUUCCGGGAUGAAAAUGACUAAGUCUGGGAAGGCCCAUAAUAUUUUGUUAAUGAAACAGAGCACUUGCCUUUGAAAAGCCUCAAAUAGGUUUUAAUCUGGCAACAGAUGUGAACUAUGUAAAAACAAUGGAGGGCCAAGUCUCUCCUUAGGAGAAAUACACAUUUCCUGAUAUUACAGUAUUUUCCUCCAGACACAAAAUUCUUAAAGCUCUGUGCCUGAGCAAAUAGACUUGCAAAUGAAGUCCAUGUUGACCUUCUGAUGAGUGAUCAAGACAUAAAAUCUGCAGCAUGUAGAAUUAGAUAAACUCAUGCUGAGGGAAACUGAACUCGCUCUCCUUUUAAGGGAGCCCCAAGUCUUAUGAUGUGCUCAACGUAUCAUCGAGUUCUGUCCACAGGUGUAACACAACAUAAUCGGGAGAAUGAGGGUUUCAAUUCCUGUGAAGAA
Molecule: long non-coding RNA, 1676 nt
Filed under: Pogona vitticeps (central bearded dragon)
Lineage: Eukaryota; Metazoa; Chordata; Lepidosauria; Squamata; Agamidae
Description: lncRNA (ENSPVIG00000008832.1)
Source: RNAcentral